RNAcentral lists this ribosomal RNA (293 nucleotides) under uncultured bacterium. Its description in RNAcentral is "partial 16S ribosomal RNA". It matches the Rfam family "Archaeal small subunit ribosomal RNA", at positions 455 to 747 of the family's 1478-position model. The record is from RNAcentral.
GUGCCAGCCGCCGCGGUAAUACCGGCAGCCCAAGUGAUGGCCGAUCUUAUUGGGCCUAAAGCGUCCGUAGCUGGCCGCGCAAGUCCAUCGGAAAAUCCACCCGCCCAACGGGUGGGCGUCCGGUGGAAACUGCGUGGCUUGGGACCGGAAGGCGCGACGGGUACGUCCGGGGUAGGAGUGAAAUCCCGUAAUCCUGGACGGACCACCGGUGGCGAAAGCGCCUCGAGAGGACGGACCCGACAGUGAGGGACGAAAGCCAGGGUCUCGAACCGGAUUAGAAACCCCAGUAGUCC